This 2202-nucleotide long non-coding RNA is filed under the name Homo sapiens (human). RNAcentral describes it as "Pvt1 oncogene, transcript variant 23 (PVT1)". The stretch from base 34 to 211 matches the Rfam family "Pvt1 oncogene conserved region 1". The record is from RNAcentral. Lineage: Eukaryota; Metazoa; Chordata; Mammalia; Primates; Hominidae.
CCCGCGCUCCUCCGGGCAGAGCGCGUGUGGCGGCCGAGCACAUGGGCCCGCGGGCCGGGCGGGCUCGGGGCGGCCGGGACGAGGAGGGGCGACGACGAGCUGCGAGCAAAGAUGUGCCCCGGGACCCCCGGCACCUUCCAGUGGAUUUCCUUGCGGAAAGGAUGUUGGCGGUCCCUGUGACCUGUGGAGACACGGCCAGAUCUGCCCUCCAGCCUGAUCUUUUGGCCAGAAGGAGAUUAAAAAGAUGCCCCUCAAGAUGGCUGUGCCUGUCAGCUGCAUGGAGCUUCGUUCAAGUAUUUUCUGAGCCUGAUGGAUUUACAGUGAUCUUCAGUGGUCUGGGGAAUAACGCUGGUGGAACCAUGCACUGGAAUGACACACGCCCGGCACAUUUCAGGAUACUAAAAGUGGUUUUAAGGGAGGCUGUGGCUGAAUGCCUCAUGGAUUCUUACAGCUUGGAUGUCCAUGGGGGACGAAGGACUGCAGCUGGCUGAGAGGGUUGAGAUCUCUGUUUACUUAGAUCUCUGCCAACUUCCUUUGGGUCUCCCUAUGGAAUGUAAGACCCCGACUCUUCCUGGUGAAGCAUCUGAUGCACGUUCCAUCCGGCGCUCAGCUGGGCUUGAGCUGACCAUACUCCCUGGAGCCUUCUCCCGAGGUGCGCGGGUGACCUUGGCACAUACAGCCAUCAUGAUGGUACUUUAAGUGGAGGCUGAAUCAUCUCCCCUUUGAGCUGCUUGGCACGUGGCUCCCUUGGUGUUCCCCUUUUACUGCCAGGACACUGAGAUUUGGAGAGAGUCUCACUCUGUGGUCCAGGCUGAAGUACAGUGGCAUGAUCCCAGGUCACUGCAACCCCCACCUCCCGGGUUCAAGUGAUCCUCCUGCCUCAGCCUCCCGAGUAGCUGGUAUUACAGGCGUGUGCCACAAAGCCUGGCUAAGUUUUGUAUUUUUAGUAGAGACGGGGUUUCACCAUGUUGGCCAGGUUGGUCUCGAACUCCUGACCUCAAGUGAUCCACUCACUUUGGCCUUUCAACGUGCUGGGAUUACAGGCGAGAGUCACCGCACCCGGACGACUCUGACAUUUUUGAAGAGUCCAGAAUCCUGUUACACCUGGGAUUUAGGCACUUUCAAUCUGAAAAAAUACAUAUCCUUUCAGCACUCUGGACGGACUUGAGAACUGUCCUUACGUGACCUAAAGCUGGAGUAUUUUGAGAUUGGAGAAUUAAGAGUGUGGGCACCCUGGCUUCAAGCUCACGAGAAACCAGAAGGAAGUCACUGUGCAUAGCCAUCCCCUAAGAAGAGGGCAUUCCUGCUCUUCCUUCUCCAUGGCUAGAGGAUCUACAUGAACUAUUUAGAUUUUUUCUACCUGGGAGAUUUAACUCCUCUCUCCUAUUUAUUUAUUUAUAUAUCAGCAUGGACUUGCAGGCCAACAGAGAUUUUGAGAAACACAUUGAAGGAUCUGUUAACACUUGAUAUACCCAAUAAAAGCAGUGGUUGUGCCAGUGCUGAUCUGUCUUGAUGUGAAUGUGAACAAUGGGAACCUGAGCUGAGCAGUUAAUGCUAGGGUGACAGAAACUGGACCUCUCCCAAGACAUGUGACAGAGUAAUACAGCAGCCAACUUCUUCGCCAAAUUAAAGUUUUACAAGAUUUAACCUGUCAUCAAGACCUGGGAUUUUGGUGAGCCAGUCUUGGUGCUCUGUGUUCACCUGGUUCAUCUGAGGAGCUGCAUCUACCCUGCCCAUGCCAUAGAUCCUGCCCUGUUUGCUUCUCCUGUUGCUGCUAGUGGACAUGAGAAGGACAGAAUAACGGGCUCCCAGAUUCACAAGCCCCACCAAGAGGAUCACCCCAGGAACGCUUGGAGGCUGAGGAGUUCACUGAGGCUACUGCAUCUUGAGACUCAGGAUGAAGACCCAGCUUGGGGCUGUCAAAGGUUUUUUGCAUGUCUGACACCCAUGACUCCACCUGGACCUUAUGGCUCCACCCAGAAGCAAUUCAGCCCAACAGGAGGACAGCUUCAACCCAUUACGAUUUCAUCUCUGCCCCAACCACUCAGCAGCAAGCACCUGUUACCUGUCCACCCCCACCCCUUCCCCCAAACUGCCUUUGAAAAAUCCCUAACCUAUGAGCUUUGAAUAAGAUGAGUACGAACUUCAUCGCCCACGUGGCGUGGCCGGCCUCGUGUCUAUUAAAUUCUUUUUCUACUACAA